This 253-nucleotide ribosomal RNA is filed under the name uncultured bacterium. RNAcentral's name for it is "partial 16S ribosomal RNA". It matches the Rfam family "Bacterial small subunit ribosomal RNA", at positions 524 to 776 of the family's 1533-position model. The record is from RNAcentral.
UACGUAGGGUGCAAGCGUUGUCCGGAAUUAUUGGGCGUAAAGAGCUCGUAGGCGGUCUGUCGCGUCGGCUGUGAAAUCCCGAGGCUCAACCUCGGGUCUGCAGUCGAUACGGGCAAACUGGAGUGUUGCAGGGGAGACUGGAAUUCCUGGUGUAGCGGUGAAAUGCGCAGAUAUCGGGAGGAACACCAGCGGCGAAGGCGGCACUCUGGGCUGGUACUGACGCUGAGGAGCGAAAGCGUGGGUAGCAAACAGG